Long non-coding RNA from Ziziphus jujuba (common jujube), 587 nucleotides. RefSeq lists it as uncharacterized. NCBI's taxonomy places the organism in Eukaryota, Viridiplantae, Streptophyta, Magnoliopsida, Rosales, Rhamnaceae. The record is from RefSeq and is a predicted model, not a curated record. The transcript has 3 exons.
GCCCUUUGUUGGAGAACCCGAAUAUAUCCCCCUAGAAAGGCUUGCCAGACAAGGCAUCAACAACAAGAUUUGCAUUUGGUUGGGUGGGUUCGUCCCUGUGGUACUGUCAAAUAGCUGGUGAAAAUCUGAGAGUUUCGAUAUGUUUGCCUGCAUUUGGGAAGCUUCACAAAAAAGUAUUGCAGAUGCCUUCUGUGGGUUUGGGUUAUCAAAUGUUGAACUAAGCGAGCUUGUCUUGUCCUGUGCUCCCUUUUUGCUUUGUAUAAACAUUCUUUUUGGAAAAAGGAAUAUAUAUAUUUAGGAAUCAAUUUCUAAAAUGAUUAAUAGGAAGAGUAACUCUUGGAAUCCGUCAUUUCUAUUACAAUAGUCUUGAUAUUACAGAUAAUAAAAUUCAAACCAUGCCAUGGGCAACAAUUCUUGAAAAGGUUGUCCAGCUACAAAGUUUGCAACAGCUUUGUGUGGUUAAGGAUCUUUCUGCUCAUGAUGUGGUGAUGCAAUUGAUGCAGAAGGAAAACUACUUGAUCAGAAUGCUUAACAAGGGAGUACUUGCAUUUCCAAUCUCAAAAUGGGUCCCUGGUGCUGGUCCAACU